RNAcentral lists this transfer RNA (87 nucleotides) under Dehalococcoidia bacterium. RNAcentral describes it as "tRNA-Tyr". It matches the Rfam family "tRNA". From Rfam's summary of the family: Transfer RNA (tRNA) molecules are approximately 80 nucleotides in length. Their secondary structure includes four short double-helical elements and three loops (D, anti-codon, and T loops). Lineage: Bacteria; Bacillati; Chloroflexota; Dehalococcoidia. The record is from RNAcentral.
GGAGGGGUGCCGGAGCGGUUAAUCGGAACAGACUGUAAAUCUGUCGCCCUAAGGGCUUCACUGGUUCGAAUCCAGUCCCCUCCACCA